RNAcentral lists this ribosomal RNA (348 nucleotides) under Triticum aestivum (bread wheat). RNAcentral's name for it is "partial small subunit ribosomal RNA". Lineage: Eukaryota; Viridiplantae; Streptophyta; Magnoliopsida; Poales; Poaceae. The record is from RNAcentral.
AUGAAUAAAAAAGAUAAAAAGAAGAAGGAACCCUUCAAUGUAGCAGUGCGUUCAUUUUUUUUGUUUCCCUCUGUGUUUUUUGUUAGAUUUUUUUCCGUUUGGCCUAGUUUUUCCUGUGCUGUUUCUUAUCUUGUUUCCACCGUUUGUGGUCGGGUUGUCUUGGUUGUUUUUUCUUGUUUUUUUGUUUUUGUUAUUAUUUCUUCACUGAAUUUUCUCCUGUUUUCAUUAACUUUCGGGUUAUACUUCUUUUUUUGGUUUUUUCAUCAAUUUUCUUUGGGUUUUUCAUCUUCUUUAUAUCUUGGGUGUUUUUUCUCUCUCGUCUCUUUGUCUUAUUCAUCUAUCUUUUAG